This 27-nucleotide non-coding RNA is filed under the name Cricetulus griseus (Chinese hamster). Lineage: Eukaryota; Metazoa; Chordata; Mammalia; Rodentia; Cricetidae. The record is from RNAcentral.
UCUGAAAGAAAUCAAGAAACAAUGGGA